Molecule: ribosomal RNA, 377 nt
Filed under: uncultured eukaryote
Lineage: Eukaryota
Description: partial 18S ribosomal RNA
Rfam family: Eukaryotic small subunit ribosomal RNA
Source: RNAcentral
CAAUAGCGUAUAUUAAAGUUGUUGCAGUUAAAAAGCUCGUAGUUGGAUUUCGGGGCAGCCUGGCUGGUCCGCCGCAAGGCGAGUACUGGUCGGCCGCCCUUCCUCUCGAAAGCCCCGACUGCUCUUUAUUGCAGUGGUCGGGUAGUUCGGGACGUUUACUUUGAAAAAAUUAGAGUGUUCAAGGCAGGCCUACGCCUGAAUACAUUAGCAUGGAGUAAUGGAAGAGGACCUCGGUCCUAUUUUGUUGGUUUCCAGGACCGAAGUAAUGAUUAAGAGGGACAGUUGGGGGCAUUCGUAUUUAAUUGUCAGAGGUGAAAUUCUCGGAUUUAUGAAAGACGAACAACUGCGAAAGCAUUUGCCAAGGAUGUUUUCAUUAG